AGCGGGAGGUCUGCGCGGUGUGUCCAGUCUUCUCGGCGCGGACGGGAUUCCCGUGGACCUUCGGCCGAAGGGGCGACGCGCGACACAAAAAGCAUCCGUGGAGCUCAAGUUUGAGGUGAAAGCAGGCUCAGAGUCCACCUGUCCUCGCUGAUCCAUGGAUUUCUGUGUGACCAGGUCCCGGGCUGGACAGAGAGUGACUCUACUGGGAGCCGUGCCAUGAGACCCAGGGCGUCACCCACCUGGGCUCCCUCACCCUGGACGGGGACAGCCUCUACGUCAGUGAUUACACCUAUGGAGCCGCAGC
Diceros bicornis minor is the source of this 304-nucleotide long non-coding RNA. RefSeq lists it as uncharacterized. The record is from RefSeq and is a predicted model, not a curated record. NCBI's taxonomy places the organism in Eukaryota, Metazoa, Chordata, Mammalia, Perissodactyla, Rhinocerotidae. The transcript has 4 exons.